Papio anubis (olive baboon) is the source of this 307-nucleotide non-coding RNA. Lineage: Eukaryota; Metazoa; Chordata; Mammalia; Primates; Cercopithecidae. The record is from Rfam.
GAAUAUGAGGGCAAUCUAAGGGCAAUAUCUGUCAACCCUUUGAUUGCCAGGGUUGGUACAGAGGAUCUGGCUGGCUAGACAGGUGUUCCCUUCCUUCCUCAUAUGGAGGUGCUCCAUAUGCGCACCUCCCAAAGCUGUGUGCUCGGUAAAAGAGGAAUGACCAUCCCCAGUGGAGGAGGACCCAUGUUCACUCAGGGGUAUGUGAGUAGCUGGGCUCCCCUGCUAGAACUUCCAAACACGCUCUCAAGAAGAGACAAAUCAAUCACAUGAUAUUAUUCUUCACCUGUCUUGUUUAUUAUUUAUUGAU